Mastomys coucha (southern multimammate mouse) is the source of this 1125-nucleotide long non-coding RNA. RefSeq lists it as uncharacterized. The record is from RefSeq and is a predicted model, not a curated record. The transcript is spliced from 3 exons. NCBI's taxonomy places the organism in Eukaryota, Metazoa, Chordata, Mammalia, Rodentia, Muridae.
GACUGAGGACAUAGCUCAGUGGGUAAAGUGCCUGCCACACAAGCCUGGGGACCGGCUUUGGAUUGCCAGCACCCACAUGAAACUAGGUGUGGUGGGGCACAUCUGUCAUCCAUGCACUGGGCACAGAGACACAUCCCUGGAGCACAAUGGCCAGCCUGGGCAGCCUGUGGGUGAGCUCUAGGGUCAACGAGAGAGCUCUGUCUCAAGAACUAAGGUGGAGUUCAUAGAUCCCAAAGGACAUUCCAGUGGGGAGCCCCAUCACCAGGCAAGAGGAAGCUAUGUGCCUGGGUCUCAGAAGAGCAGAGACUGGGGCAGAGGAGACAGAGUGAGGAGGAGUCAGAUGGCUGACCCAGAAAGGGCCUGAUGUGUCACAGAAGGUCUCAGGAGUCCAAAGAUGGAAAGCAGGAGCAGACCCACACGAGAGGUGGGAGAAGAUAAAGGAAACACAGGAGAAGCUCUGAAUGUGAGAGGGCUGGAGAGUUGCUGGUCACUAAGACAGCCGACUGAUUCCUGAGUGUGAAUUUGGUCUUCAAGAGAUGGUGCCUGCUUGUCCUGGGGUGCGUGCUUCUCCUAGCCUGUCUGCCUCAGACGGAAUUCCAGUGAUAACGCCCUACCUUGUGUCCCUGCUGCUGCUGCUAUGUGCAUCCUGUGAAUGCUACCGGAGCUGCUGUGGUGGGGGCGGGCAAAGACUCAUCCAUCAUCCCUGGCAGGCCAGACCUCCACACCGCACAGGAGAUGCCCAUAAACAAGUUCUUUGUUCUUGAGGGAUGAAGAAAGUCCAGACUCAUUGACUCUGGGGCCUUGAUCAGGACUGGGUCUCAGCACCACGCUUUGUCAGCCUGCGUAGAAGGCAGCAUCAUGGUGAGGCAGGCAGGUGCCACAGUGACAGAGCACUUGGCCAGCAGGCAUGAGGCCCCGGCCCUUUGUAAUAGUGCCGAUGAGGAUGAUGUGACUGACAUAGGACAGCAAGGUCCCUGAUGGAGAGCUAACUCGCCCAGUUCCUCAGCCCCAGGAGAGCGCAAACAGUGUCCUAUUUGCCAUCAGAAAUCCUUCAAGAUGGCAUCAGGCCAAAAUCCCCCCAGUGAGUGUCCUUAACCAGUCAAAAUAAAGACUCCCUCAACCAGC